AAUGAACGCUGGCGGCGUGCGUAACACAUGCAAGUCGAACGUGAAAGUCCCCUUCGGGGGAUGAGUAAAGUGGCAAACGGGUGAGUAACACGUGGGUAACCUGCCCUCUGGUGGGGGAUAACCCUGCGAAAGCGGGGCUAAUACCGCAUAACAAGUCGCUAAAUAAUUAGUCGACUUCAAAGCCUUCGGGCGCUAGAGGAGGGGCCCGCGUCCCAUUAGCUAGUUGGUAGGGUAACGGCCUACCAAGGCUGCGAUGGGUAGCCGGCCUGAGAGGGUGUCCGGCCACACUGGAACUGAGACACGGUCCAGACUCCUACGGGAGGCAGCAGUGGGGGAUUUUGCGCAAUGGGCGAAAGCCUGACGCAGCGACGCCGCGUGGGUGAUGAAGUUCUUCGGAACGUAAAGCCCUGUCAGGAGGGACGAAGCUCUGACGGUACCUCCAAAGGAAGCCCCGGCUAACUCCGUG
This 466-nucleotide ribosomal RNA is filed under the name uncultured bacterium. RNAcentral's name for it is "bacterial SSU rRNA". It matches the Rfam family "Bacterial small subunit ribosomal RNA", at positions 29 to 507 of the family's 1533-position model. The record is from RNAcentral.